UACGUAGGCGGAGUGACAAGUUGGAUGUGAAAUCUUUAAGCUCAAACUUAAAAACUGCGUCCAAAACUGUCAUUCUGGAGUUUGGGAUAGGAAAACGGAAUUCCUGGUGUAGGAGUGAAAUCUAUAGAUAUCAGGAAGAACACCGAUGGCGAAGGCAGUUUUCUGGCCUAAAACUGACGCUGAUGUACGAAAGCCAGGGGAGCGAACG
RNAcentral lists this ribosomal RNA (208 nucleotides) under uncultured bacterium. Its description in RNAcentral is "partial 16S ribosomal RNA". It matches the Rfam family "Bacterial small subunit ribosomal RNA", at positions 568 to 774 of the family's 1533-position model. The record is from RNAcentral.